Molecule: non-coding RNA, 70 nt
Organism: Desmophyllum pertusum
Lineage: Eukaryota; Metazoa; Cnidaria; Anthozoa; Scleractinia; Caryophylliidae
Source: the annotation of a GenBank genome assembly
GCGUUGGCCUAAUGGUUAGGGCGUUGAACUCCGGAUCGAGAUGCCUGGGUUCGAGCCCUGGCUGGGGUCA